This 352-nucleotide unclassified non-coding RNA is filed under the name soil metagenome. RNAcentral describes it as "partial contains 5.8S ribosomal RNA, internal transcribed spacer 2, and large subunit ribosomal RNA". The stretch from base 1 to 120 matches the Rfam family "5.8S ribosomal RNA", at positions 35 to 154 of the family's 154-position model. The record is from RNAcentral.
GAUGAAGAACGCAGCGAAAUGCGAUAAGUAAUGUGAAUCGCAGAAUUCAGUGAAUCAUCGAAUCUUUGAACGCACAUUGCGCCCGCCAGUAUUCUGGCGGGCAUGCCUGUUCGAGCGUCAUUACAACCCUCAGGCCCCCGGGCCUGGCGUUGGGGAUCGGCGGAGCCCCCCGUGGGCACACGCCGUCCCCCAAAUACAGUGGCGGUCCCGCCGCAGCUUCCAUCGCGUAGUAGCUAACACCUCGCGACUGGAGAGCGGCGCGGCCACGCCGUAAAACACCCAACUCUUCUGAAGUUGACCUCGAAUCAGGUAGGAAUACCCGCUGAACUUAAGCAUAUCAAUAAGCGGAGGA